Molecule: long non-coding RNA, 795 nt
Filed under: Oryctolagus cuniculus (rabbit)
Lineage: Eukaryota; Metazoa; Chordata; Mammalia; Lagomorpha; Leporidae
Description: lncRNA (ENSOCUG00000033544.1)
Source: RNAcentral
AUUUUAUAAUUCUAAAUUCAUAUAUUUAUAGUAGAUAAUAUAUAAUAUGUAUAUUUUGCAUUUUUGUUAGCAUCUUGUGAAUAAUUACUCCAAUAUUCAGAGAAAGAUUUGAGGAUAAUAAACUAAAUGUAACCUUUUAAAUGAAUCCUAAACAUUUGGCAACCUAGUUCUCAUUGAUAUAAUUAAAUAUUUUAAUCCAAUCCAAAAGUUGUAGAAUUCAAACAGAGUACAUGGAUCUUAAAAGUAAUAAAUAGUUAAGAAAUUCAUGAGGAAUCAUCUUUCAUAAAAAUGUAUUGGUAUUUCUUAAUUAUUUGAAGUUAACAUCUUUUGUUGCUUUUUUUUUUUUUAAACUUUUAUUUAAUGCAUAUAAAUUUCCAAAGUACGACUCAUGGGUUACAAUGGCUUCCCCCCAAUACCGUCCCUCCCACCCACAACCCUCCCCUUUCCCACUCCCUCUCCCCUUUUUAAUCAGUAACUGUGGUGGAACAGAUGUUUUGCCUAGCAGUUCAAACAGUGAGUAAGGGAACAGUGUCCCAUACCACAGUGCCUGGAUUCUUCAUCUGCUUCCAUCUCUUGACUCCAGAUUUCGGAUUUACUGCAGGCCCUGGGAAGAAGAUACGAUGGCUUAAAUCAUCACCUUCAUCUCCCAGCAUUUCCCUUUUGAUGACCAAAAUGGAAUUUAUAUAUGAUGAAAACACCAUUUACACCUAUACCUUCUGUAUUUUUACAUCACUUAAGUGUUUGAUAUGAUAUCCUUUUUCUUUUGAAAUAAAUCUCUGUCCACACAAUAAAACA